This 409-nucleotide ribosomal RNA is filed under the name bacterium. Its description in RNAcentral is "partial 16S ribosomal RNA". It matches the Rfam family "Bacterial small subunit ribosomal RNA", at positions 355 to 776 of the family's 1533-position model. The record is from RNAcentral.
UGGGGAAUAUUGCACAAUGGGGGAAACCCUGAUGCAGCAACGCCGCGUGCGGGAUGACGGCCUUCGGGUUGUAAACCGCUUUCAGCCAUGACGAAGCUUUUGUGACGGUAGUGGCAGAAGAAGCACCGGCUAACUACGUGCCAGCAGCCGCGGUGAUACGUAGGGUGCGAGCGUUGUCCGGAAUUAUUGGGCGUAAAGAGCUUGUAGGCGGUUUGUCGCGUCGAAAGUGUAAACUCAGUGCUUAACGCUGAGCCUGCUUUCGAUACGGGAUGACUAGAGGAAGGUAGGGGAGAAUGGAAUUCCCGGUGGAGCGGUGGAAUGCGCAGAUAUCGGGAGGAACACCAGUGGCGAAGGCGGUUCUCUGGACCUUUCCUGACGCUGAGAAGCGAAAGCGUGGGUAGCAAACAGG